RNAcentral lists this ribosomal RNA (427 nucleotides) under uncultured beta proteobacterium. RNAcentral describes it as "bacterial SSU rRNA". It matches the Rfam family "Bacterial small subunit ribosomal RNA", at positions 355 to 774 of the family's 1533-position model. The record is from RNAcentral. Lineage: Bacteria; Pseudomonadati; Pseudomonadota; Betaproteobacteria.
UGGGGAAUUUUGGACAAUGGGCGAAAGCCUGAUCCAGCCAUGCCGCGUGAGUGAAGAAGGCCUUCGGGUUGUAAAGCUCUUUUAGUCGGAAAGAAAGAGUUGCAAUGAAUAAUUGUGAUUUAUGACGGUACCGACAGAAAAAGCACCGGCUAACUACGUGCCAGCAGCCGCGGUAAUACGUAGGGUGCGAGCGUUAAUCAGAAUUACUGGGCGUAAAGGGUGCGCAGGCGGUCUUGCAAGUCAGAUGUGAAAGCCCCGGGCUUAACCUGGGAAUUGCGUUUGAAACUACAAGACUAGAGUGCAGCAGAGGGGAGUGGAAUUCCAUGUGUAGCAGUGAAAUGCGUAGAGAUGUGGAAGAACACCGAUGGCGAAGGCAGCUCCCUGGGUUGACACUGACGCUCAUGCACGAAAGCGUGGGGAGCAAACA